UACGUAGGGGGCUAGCGUUGUCCGGAAUCAUUGGGCGUAAAGCGCGUGUAGGCGGUCCGGUAAGUCCGCUGUGAAAGUCGGGGGCUCAACCCUCGAAUGCCGGUGGAAACUGUCGGGCUAGAGUACGGAAGAGGCGAGUGGAAUUCCUGGUGUAGCGGUGAAAUGCGCAGAUAUCAGGAGGAACACCGGUGGCGAAGGCGGUUCUCUGGGCCUUACCUGACGCUGAGGAGCGAAAGCAUGGGGAGCAAACAGG
RNAcentral lists this ribosomal RNA (253 nucleotides) under uncultured bacterium. Its description in RNAcentral is "partial 16S ribosomal RNA". It matches the Rfam family "Bacterial small subunit ribosomal RNA", at positions 524 to 776 of the family's 1533-position model. The record is from RNAcentral.